This is a long non-coding RNA of Strongylocentrotus purpuratus (purple sea urchin), 1197 nucleotides long. RefSeq lists it as uncharacterized. The transcript has 2 exons. Lineage: Eukaryota; Metazoa; Echinodermata; Echinoidea; Camarodonta; Strongylocentrotidae. The record is from RefSeq and is a predicted model, not a curated record.
GGGACCAUGCUAUAUAUAGAGGUCCCACUUUACAUCUAAUGCUCGUGUAUUGAUUCGAGACCUUUCCAGUAUUACAUUUUAGGAGAAUUAUUAACUAAUCAAUCCUAGUAUGCAAUUUAUGAAAAAGAAUAUGGAAUUAAUUUAAACGACAUAUAACUCGCCACAAUUUUGUUAUUUUAAGGGGUUAUGCACUUGUCAAUUGUAGUGGGGAUGGCCAGACCAUGAUGUGGGGCGGGGAUAGAGCCAGAUUCGCUAUGGAGCUGACUGUGACUUGGCGUACCAUCUCAAGUAACUGAAAUAAUUGAUUAUGGUUAAAUUUCCCCUUGGGCCAGGACUACAAUUGACAAGUGCAUUAUACAGAAGCGACCUUUGUUUUCCCACCUAUGAUAUAUGCAAGUAUCCUAAAUUGUGUUUGAAGCAUUUUAUAGACCUUAGUAAUUCUGGUUAACAAUCGUAUUUGUUGGAAAGCUUUAAAUUUAACCCUUAUUUAUCAGCUGCUGUGUAAGUUCAAUGUUCUGUAUAAAGCACUUCAAAUUUAGUGCACUGAAUUUAUAAAGAUAUAUGAUCUCACAAAUGUGGGCUGGAUUAUGAAUUUUAAAACUGUAUUCAGAAUACUUGAUGUGCUUCUGAAAACAUGGCUUUUUGAUGUGUACACUAAAUGGGUUUCUCUCUUUUAUUUUCUUCUCCUGUCAGCACACGUAGGGUUAGAUAAGAGAAAUCUUUGAAAUGAACAUGCUUCCUCAUGUUUAGCACCGUUGUAUGAUAUGUAGUAGUGACAAUAAUGUAUAAAAUACAAAUCUAACAAUGACGUUGUGAAAUGUGGUUGAUGAUGAUAUCCAUUUGUGCUUUGUGAAUGAGAAAAAGAAUAAUUCAAACACUGGUCUGUCUGUUUUUAUUCACGUAUAUUUAAACAAAAAAAACAGGGAUAUACACAUUGUCAUAGGAUCUGCAAGUGUGUUGGUAUUCACAGAUCUUUUUGGUUUAUAGUAGUUGUAGCUAGUUUUGGAUUAAUAAAAGGAUACAAUUUUUUCUAAUUACUUUGAAAAUCAAUCUACACUUGGUAGAACAGGCGCCAAUGUGAUGUUUAUUAAAUGUAAUCUUUCAUAUGGGGUUUGUAUUUUGUAAAUACCAACACUUGCUGAAAUCCUAGCAUGUUUAUCAGAUAAAUAUGAAUGAUAACCGUUCGUAGCUGACUUU